This 210-nucleotide unclassified non-coding RNA is filed under the name Hevea brasiliensis (rubber tree). Lineage: Eukaryota; Viridiplantae; Streptophyta; Magnoliopsida; Malpighiales; Euphorbiaceae. The record is from RNAcentral.
GUCAAAGACCAAACAAAAAAAAAAUAAUUACUUGAGCCGGGAGGUAGUCAACCGAUUACAAGGAUUAUUGGCUGGAGGGUUAUUCGCUGACUGAACUGAUAGGAUUAGAUUAGAAGGCGUAGGCCUAUAAGGACAGAAAGGGAAUGCGCAGACAAUCAGCACUUUAUUCGGGUGACGAGGACACUACCUCAACGAAGACAUCUGGGUCGG